RNAcentral lists this ribosomal RNA (466 nucleotides) under uncultured bacterium. Its description in RNAcentral is "partial 16S ribosomal RNA". It matches the Rfam family "Bacterial small subunit ribosomal RNA", at positions 28 to 507 of the family's 1533-position model. The record is from RNAcentral.
GACGAACGCUGGCGGCGUGCUUAACACAUGCAAGUCGAACGGAAAGGCCCUGCUUGCCGGGUACUCGAGUGGCGAACGGGUGAGUAACACGUGGGCGAUCUGCCCUGCACUUCGGGAUAAGCUUGGGAAACUGGGUCUAAUACCGGAUAGGAGCCAUCUUUAGUGUGGUGGUUGGAAAGUUUUUUCGGUGUAGGAUGAGCUCGCGGCCUAUCAGCUUGUUGGUGGGGUAAUGGCCUACCAAGGCGGCGACGGGUAGCCGGCCUGAGAGGGUGUACGGCCACAUUGGGACUGAGAUACGGCCCAGACUCCUACGGGAGGCAGCAGUGGGGAAUAUUGCACAAUGGGCGCAAGCCUGAUGCAGCGACGCCGCGUGGGGGAUGAAGGCCUUCGGGUUGUAAACUCCUUUCGCUAGGGACGAAGCUUUUUUGUGACGGUACCUAGAUAAGAAGCACCGGCUAACUACGUG